GGGGGAUAUUGCACAAUGGGGGAAACCCUGAUGCAGCGACGCCGCGUGGAGGAAGAAGGUUUUCGGAUUGUAAACUCCUGUCGUUAGGGACGAUAAUGACGGUACCUAACAAGAAAGCACCGGCUAACUACGUGCCAGCAGCCGCGGUAAAACGUAGGGUGCAAGCGUUGUCCGGAAUUACUGGGUGUAAAGGGAGCGCAGGCGGGAAGACAAGUUGGAAGUGAAAACCAUGGGCUCAACCCAUGAAUUGCUUUCAAAACUGUUUUUCUUGAGUAGUGCAGAGGUAGAUGGAAUUCCCGGUGUAGCGGUGGAAUGCGUAGAUAUCGGGAGGAACACCAGUGGCGAAGGCGGUCUACUGGGCACCAACUGACGCUGAGGCUCGAAAGCAUGGGUAGCAAACAGGAUUAGAUACCCUGGUAGUCCAUGCCGUAAACGAUGAUUACUAGGUGUUGGGGGAUUGACCCCCUCAGUGCCGCAGUUAACACAAUAAGUAAUCCACCUGGGGAGUACGACCGCAAGGUUGAAACUCAAAGGAAUUGACGGGGGCCCGCACAAGCAGUGGAGUAUGUGGUUUAAUUCGAAGCAACGCGAAGAACCUUACCAGGUCUUGACAUCCGAUGCAUAACACAGAGAUGUGUGAAAUCCUUCGGGACAUCGAGACAGGUGGUGCAUGGUUGUCGUCAGCUCGUGUCGUGAGAUGUUGGGUUAAGUCCCGCAACGAGCGCAACCCUUAUUGCCAGUUACUACGUUAAGAGGACUCUGGCGAGACUGCCGUUGACAAAACGGAGGAAGGUGGGGAUGACGUCAAAUCAUCAUGCCCUUUAUGACCUGGGCUACACACGUACUACAAUGGCGUUAAACAAAGAGAAGCAAGACCGCGAGGUGGAGCAAAACUCAAAAACAACGUCUCAGUUCAGAUUGCAGGCUGCAACUCGCCUGCAUGAAGUCGGAAUUGCUAGUAAUCGUGGAUCAGCAUGCCGCGGUGAAUACGUUCCCG
This 997-nucleotide ribosomal RNA is filed under the name uncultured bacterium. RNAcentral describes it as "bacterial SSU rRNA". It matches the Rfam family "Bacterial small subunit ribosomal RNA", at positions 356 to 1376 of the family's 1533-position model. The record is from RNAcentral.